This 1137-nucleotide ribosomal RNA is filed under the name Bacillus sp. (in: firmicutes). RNAcentral describes it as "bacterial SSU rRNA". It matches the Rfam family "Bacterial small subunit ribosomal RNA", at positions 1 to 1070 of the family's 1533-position model. The record is from RNAcentral. Lineage: Bacteria; Bacillati; Bacillota; Bacilli; Caryophanales; Bacillaceae.
ANAAGAACAAAAGGCAAGAGAAAAANNNAGAGAGAAAACAGAGNNAGAUAGNAANNUUAGAGUUGACCCUGCUCAGGACGAACGCUGGCGGCGUGCCUAAUACAUGCAAGUCGAGCGGACAGAUGGGAGCUUGCUCCCUGAUGUUAGCGGCGGACGGGUGAGUAACACGUGGGUAACCUGCCUGUAAGACUGGGAUAACUCCGGGAAACCGGGGCUAAUACCGGAUGCUUGUUUGAACCGCAUGGUUCAGACAUAAAAGGUGGCUUCGGCUACCACUUACAGAUGGACCCGCGGCGCAUUAGCUAGUUGGUGAGGUAACGGCUCACCAAGGCGACGAUGCGUAGCCGACCUGAGAGGGUGAUCGGCCACACUGGGACUGAGACACGGCCCAGACUCCUACGGGAGGCAGCAGUAGGGAAUCUUCCGCAAUGGACGAAAGUCUGACGGAGCAACGCCGCGUGAGUGAUGAAGGUUUUCGGAUCGUAAAGCUCUGUUGUUAGGGAAGAACAAGUGCCGUUCAAAUAGGGCGGCACCUUGACGGUACCUAACCAGAAAGCCACGGCUAACUACGUGCCAGCAGCCGCGGUAAUACGUAGGUGGCAAGCGUUGUCCGGAAUUAUUGGGCGUAAAGGGCUCGCAGGCGGUUUCUUAAGUCUGAUGUGAAAGCCCCCGGCUCAACCGGGGAGGGUCAUUGGAAACUGGGGAACUUGAGUGCAGAAGAGGAGAGUGGAAUUCCACGUGUAGCGGUGAAAUGCGUAGAGAUGUGGAGGAACACCAGUGGCGAAGGCGACUCUCUGGUCUGUAACUGACGCUGAGGAGCGAAAGCGUGGGGAGCGAACAGGAUUAGAUACCCUGGUAGUCCACGCCGUAAACGAUGAGUGCUAAGUGUUAGGGGGUUUCCGCCCCUUAGUGCUGCAGCUAACGCAUUAAGCACUCCGCCUGGGGAGUACGGUCGCAAGACUGAAACUCAAAGGAAUUGACGGGGGCCCGCACAAGCGGUGGAGCAUGUGGUUUAAUUCGAAGCAACGCGAAGAACCUUACCAGGUCUUGACAUCCUCUGACAAUCCUAGAGAUAGGACGUCCCCUUCGGGGGCAGAGUGACAGGUGGUGCAUGGUUGUCGUCAGCUCGUUNGAANG